GGGACCAAGGAGGGAAUGAGUGAAGAGGAGCAGGGCUCAGGCACUACCACAGGCUGCGGGCUGCCCAGCCCGUAGAGCAAAUGCUGGCUGCCAACCCAGGCAAGACCCCGAUCAGUCUUAUUCAGGAGAAUAGGAAAGACGCCCGUGUACGACCUUCUCAAAGCCGAGGGCCAAGCCCAUCAGCCUAAUUUCACCUUCCGGGUCACCGUUGGCGACACCAGCUGCACUGGUCAGGGCCCCAGCAAGAAGGCAGCCAAGCACAAGGCAGCUGAGGUGGCCCUCAAACACCUCAAAGGGGGGAGCAUGCUGGAGCCAGCCCUGGAGGAAAGCAGUUCUUUUUCUCUUCUAGAUCCCUCACCGCUUGAGGACGCACCUGUCAUUGCUGCAGAAGUUGUCGCUCCUGUUCCAUCUGCUCUACUAACCAGGAGCCCUUCCAUGGAGAUGCAGCCCCAUGUCUCCCCACAGCAGUGCUCUGCUGGUGCUCUGCAGGAGCUCGUGGUACAAAAAGGCUGGCGUUUGCCAGAGUACAUGGUGACCCAGGAGUCUGGGCCUGCUCACCGUAAAGAAUUCACCGUGACCUGCCGGGUGGAACGCUUCGUUGAGAUUGGCAGUGGCACGUCCAAAAAGCUGGCAAAACGUAACGCAGCUGCUAAAAUGCUUCGAGUGCACACAGUUCCUCUGGAUGCCCGGGAUGGCAACGAGGCAGAACCUGAUGACGAUCACUUCUCCAUUGGCGUGAGCUCCCGCCUGGAUGGGCUUCGGAACCGGGGGCCAGGCUGCACCUGGGAUUCCCUGCGCAAUUCUGUGGGAGAAGAUUCUGUCCCUUUGUAGCUGCUCUGUGGGCUCUCUAGGGACUCUGGGCUCUGCCUGCUGCAGUGUCCUCAAUGAGCUCUCUGAGGAGCAGGCUUUCCAUGUCAGCUACCUGGACAUUGAAGAACUGAGCUUGAGUGGGCUCUGCCAGUGCCUAGUGGAGCUGUCCACCCAGACAGCCACUGUGUGUCAUGGUUCUGCAACUACCAGGAAGGCAGCCCAAGGUGAGGCUGCUCGCUGCUCCCUUCAGUACCUCAGGAUCAUGGCAGGUAGCAAGUAGUACCCUGGCUGCAGUGAUGGAUGUGCACCUUUUACCUCUUGCUGCUCCUGACCCUGGCCUCAUGCAUCAGCAUAGCUCUGGAACCCUCCAGCCAUCUCUACCUCUGGCACAGAUUGCCUGCCUUGAGACUGAGGAAGGCAUAGGCAAGCGAGGGCCCCAGCCAGCACAGGAUUUGCUCUAAUUCUAUGGAUGACAAAUGAAAAGUAAAUUGGAAUUCUAAUGGAUUCUAGAAUAAAUGCUGC
Non-coding RNA from Myodes glareolus (Bank vole), 1332 nucleotides. The record is from RefSeq and is a predicted model, not a curated record. Lineage: Eukaryota; Metazoa; Chordata; Mammalia; Rodentia; Cricetidae.